CGCAGGCGGUCUGUCAAGUCUGCUGUUAAAAGCGUGGAGCUUAACUCCAUUUCGGCAGUGGAAACUGACAGACUAGAGUGUGGUAGGGGCAGAGGGAAUUCCCGGUGUAGCGGUGAAAUGCGUAGAUAUCGGGAAGAACACCAGUGGCGAAGGCGCUCUGCUGGGCCAUAACUGACGCUCAUGGACGAAAGCCAGGGGAGCGAAAGGGAUUAGAUACCCCUGUAGUCCUGGCCGUAAACGAUGAACACUAGGUGUCGGGGGAAUCGACCCCCUCGGUGUCGUAGCCAACGCGUUAAGUGUUCCGCCUGGGGAGUACGCACGCAAGUGUGAAACUCAAAGGAAUUGACGGGGGCCCGCACAAGCGGUGGAGUAUGUGGUUUAAUUCGAUGCAACGCGAAGAACCUUACCAGGGUUUGACAUCCUGCGAAUCUCUUGGAAACGAGAGAGUGCCUUCGGGAACGCAGUGACAGGUGGUGCAUGGCUGUCGUCAGCUCGUGUCGUGAGAUGUUGGGUUAAGUCCCGCAACGAGCGCAACCCACGUCGUUAGUUGCCAGCAUUUAGUUGGGCACUCUAGCGAGACCGCCGGUGAUAAACCGGAGGAAGGUGUGGAUGACGUCAAGUCAUCAUGCCCCUUACAUCCUGGGCUACACACGUACUACAAUGCUACGGACAAAGGGCAGCAAACUCGCGAGAGCUAGCAAAUCCCAUAAACCGUGGCUCAGUUCAGAUCGUAGGCUGCAACUCGCCUACGUGAAGGAGGAAUCGCUAGUAAUCGCAGGUCAGCAUACUGCGGUGAAUACGUUCCCGGGCCUUGUACACACCGCCCGUCACACCAUGGAAGUUGGCCACGCCCGAAGCCGUUACUCCAACCCUUGUGGAGGAGGACGUCGAAGGUGGGGCUGAUGACUGGGGUGAAGUCGUAACAAGGUAGCCG
RNAcentral lists this ribosomal RNA (934 nucleotides) under uncultured bacterium. Its description in RNAcentral is "bacterial SSU rRNA". It matches the Rfam family "Bacterial small subunit ribosomal RNA", at positions 570 to 1502 of the family's 1533-position model. The record is from RNAcentral.